RNAcentral lists this ribosomal RNA (112 nucleotides) under uncultured bacterium. RNAcentral describes it as "partial 16S ribosomal RNA". The record is from RNAcentral.
AGCUAUUAACUCACCGCUUUCCUCCCCACUGAAAGUGCUUUACAACCCUAGAGCCUUCUUCACACACGCGGCAUGGCUGCAUCAGGCUUUCGCCCAUUGUGCAAUAUUCCCC